Molecule: long non-coding RNA, 433 nt
Filed under: Dasypus novemcinctus (nine-banded armadillo)
Lineage: Eukaryota; Metazoa; Chordata; Mammalia; Cingulata; Dasypodidae
Description: lncRNA (ENSDNOG00000052185.1)
Source: RNAcentral
GUUGACGUUGUGAGGAACUUAAGGCUUCCUUUUGCUUGGCGAGCCAUCCACAGCCUUUUUAAAUGUACACAGUCCAUGUAAGUGCCACAUAAGUCUUGCUGUUGGAAAAGGAUCUGCUUUUGGAAGUCAGACAGGCUGUGCAUCUCGUCUCCUUCCCCUGAAAAAUCUGGCCUCUGAAGGUCAUCAUACAAGGUCAAUAACCAAAGAAAAUGAGGAGCAGAACUUACAGUGGCACGUCCAUCUUUGACUCAGAUACCAACACAAUGUAAUUUCAUGUCUACUUGAUGGAACUACUUUUCUAUGGGGAAAAAUAAAAAGGCAAGUACAGAGAUUGCACAUCAAAUAGACCAAGUAUAACACGAGGCAAAUAUUUGUGGAACCCCACAGAAAAUGUCCAAUUAAGUAGCUCUCACAGUUCUUUGAGAUUGUAUUC